This 252-nucleotide ribosomal RNA is filed under the name uncultured bacterium. Its description in RNAcentral is "partial 16S ribosomal RNA". It matches the Rfam family "Bacterial small subunit ribosomal RNA", at positions 524 to 776 of the family's 1533-position model. The record is from RNAcentral.
UACGGGGGGGCAAGCGUUGUUCGGAAUUACUGGGCGUAAAGGGCUCGUAGGCGGGAUGGCAAGUCGGUCGUGAAAUCCUUCGGCUCAACCGAAGAACGUCGGCCGAUACUGCCGUUCUUGAGGGAUGCAGAGGAGAUUGGAAUUCCCGGUGUAGCGGUGAAAUGUGUAGAGAUCGGGAGGAACACCGGUGGCGAAGGCGGGUCUCUGGGCAUCUCCUGACGCUGAGGCGCGAAAGCGUGGGGAGCAAACGGG